CGCGUAGGCGGUUUGUUAAGUCGGAUGUGAAAGCCCCGGGCUCAACCUGGGAAUUGCACCCGAUACUGGCCGACUGGAGUGCGAGAGUGGGAGGUAGAAUUCCACGUGUAGCGGUGAAAUGCGUAGAUAUGUGGAGGAAUACCGGUGGCGAAGGCGGCCUCCUGGCUCGACACUGACGCUGAGGUGCGAAAGCGUGGGGAGCAAACA
This 207-nucleotide ribosomal RNA is filed under the name uncultured bacterium. Its description in RNAcentral is "partial 16S ribosomal RNA". It matches the Rfam family "Bacterial small subunit ribosomal RNA", at positions 568 to 774 of the family's 1533-position model. The record is from RNAcentral.